RNAcentral lists this long non-coding RNA (318 nucleotides) under Homo sapiens (human). RNAcentral's name for it is "non-protein coding LINC01679:12". The record is from RNAcentral. Lineage: Eukaryota; Metazoa; Chordata; Mammalia; Primates; Hominidae.
CCAGCUCCCAGGUACCUCCCGCUCAUCUGCCCGAGGCUCCUGGGGAUGUGGCUCUUGGGUUUCAGGAGGGCCCUGCUCCUCCUGUGGGAACCACGGACACGUGUGUGCCCGCGUGCCCUGAGCUCACACACACACACCAUGGCGCAUGGGCAGGGAAGCGGCGCUCCUGGCUACCCGGAAGAGUCUCUCCCUUUUGCAAACGCCAGCCACAGAGGUUUAUUUUUCUCCCUGAGAGAAGGAAGAGUGAAGGCUGAGACUGAGACAGAAGGACAGAAGGAGAAGACUUAGAAGCCAGUGAGCCCGGAACCACGAGACGCG